RNAcentral lists this unclassified non-coding RNA (335 nucleotides) under soil metagenome. RNAcentral describes it as "partial contains 5.8S ribosomal RNA, internal transcribed spacer 2, and large subunit ribosomal RNA". The stretch from base 1 to 120 matches the Rfam family "5.8S ribosomal RNA", at positions 35 to 154 of the family's 154-position model. The record is from RNAcentral.
GAUGAAGAACGUAGCGAAAUGCGAUAAGUAAUGUGAAUUGCAGAAUUCAGUGAAUCAUCGAAUCUUUGAACGCACAUUGCGCCCGCCAGUAUUCUGGCGGGCAUGCCUGUUCGAGCGUCAUUUCAACCAUCAAGCCCCAGGCUUGUGUUGGGGACCUGCGGCUGCCGCAGGCCCUGAAAACCAGUGGCGGGCUCGCUAGUCACACCGAGCGUAGUAGCAUACACAUCGCUCAGGGCGUGCUGCGGGUUCCGGCCGUUAAACCCCUUUUUACCCAAGGUUGACCUCGGAUCAGGUAGGAAGACCCGCUGAACUUAAGCAUAUCAAUAAGCGGAGGA